Doryrhamphus excisus (bluestripe pipefish) is the source of this 11501-nucleotide non-coding RNA. NCBI's taxonomy places the organism in Eukaryota, Metazoa, Chordata, Actinopteri, Syngnathiformes, Syngnathidae. The record is from RefSeq and is a predicted model, not a curated record.
UCACUCUGGUCGCACCGCGGCGGGAACACAGAGGAGAUCCGCCGUGUGACCACCGGGAUGCGGUCGGACUCAUGAGCACGUCUCCUUCCCGGAUACCAGGAACUGAAGGCUGUCUGCCUUGCCUUCCCACGCCCACGUUAGGAACAAACAAGCUGCGUGGUAGAGGAUUUUGAGGCCCAGUUUUUUUUUAAAACUACACUGAGAAGAAGCGGCUGUCAGUGGCGGCUCUACUAACCAGCCGCGGCCGCUUGACAGGUGCCGUCGCCCGGCAUAGUGUGUGGAGAUGCCGCCCGUCCAGAGAACCAUGUCGGAUCUUCGAACUCGUGCAGACGGUUAUGAAAAGACGGAGGACACGUCAGAAAAGACAUCUCUAGCAGACCAGGAAGAUGCCCGACUGAUAUACCUUAACCAGCCGCAGUUUACAAAGUUUUGCAGCAAUCGGGUCAGUACGGCCAAGUACAACGUCAUCACCUUCCUUCCAAGAUUCCUCUACUCACAAUUCAGGAGGGCGGCCAACGCCUUUUUCCUUUUCAUUGCACUUUUGCAGCAAAUCCCAGACGUGUCUCCCACUGGUCGCUGGACAACGCUGGUCCCGCUGCUUUUUAUUCUCGUGGUAGCUGCUGUCAAGGAGGUCAUUGAAGAUCUGAAACGCCACAAUGCAGACAGCGUUGUCAACAAAAAAGAAUGUCAAGUACUGAGAAACGGUGCCUGGGAGAUUGUGCAUUGGGAGAAGGUGACUGUUGGGGAAGUAGUCCGAGCCGCCAACGGGGAUCAUCUCCCGGCUGACCUCGUCAUACUGUCGUCCAGUGAACCACAGGGAAUGUGCUACAUCGAAACAUCCAACCUGGAUGGUGAAACAAACCUAAAAAUCCGCCAGGGACUCCAAGUGACGUCCGACUUUAAGGACAUCGACAGCCUGAUGCGUCUCUCGGGGCGGAUGGAGUGUGAAUGUCCGAACCGCCAUCUGUACGAGUUUGUGGGAAACAUCCGACUUGAUGGACACAGCACAGUACCGCUGGGACCGGACCAGAUCUUACUGAGAGGAGCCCAGCUGAGGAACACACAGUGGGUCCACGGUGUGGUGGUUUACACAGGACAUGACACGAAGCUCAUGCAGAACUCCACUCGACCGCCGCUCAAAUUGUCCAACGUGGAGCGCAUCACCAACUUUCAGAUUCUGGUCCUGUUUGGCUGCUUGCUGGCCAUCUCUCUGGUCUGCUCCGUGGGCCAAACCAUCUGGAAGUACCGGUGCGGCAAUGACGCCUGGUACAUGGACCUCAACUAUGGCGGAGCGGCUAACUUUGGCCUCAACUUCCUCACCUUUAUCAUCCUCUUCAACAACUUGAUCCCCAUCAGUCUGCUGGUCACUCUGGAGGUCAUCAAGUUCAUCCAGGCCUUCUUCAUCAACUGGGACACUGAUAUGAUCUACGAGCCGACAAACACCCCUGCCAUGGCUCGUACAUCCAACCUGAAUGAAGAGUUAGGCCAGGUGAAGUACAUUUUCUCUGACAAGACGGGCACGCUGACCUGCAAUGUCAUGCAGUUCAAGAAGUGCACCAUCGCUGGCGUGGCCUACGGUCACGUGCCAGAGACUGAGGAUGCUAGUUUUGCUGAGGAUGACGGGCACAGCACACACUCGUCAGAGGAGUCUGGAUUUGUUGACCCAAGCCUGCUGGAAAACCUCCAAAGUAAUCACCCGACAGCUGCUGUCAUCCUGGAGUUCAUGACCAUGAUGGCCAUCUGCCACACCGCCGUCCCCGAGCGCAAUGAUGGAAAAAUCACCUACCAAGCGGCAUCUCCAGAUGAAGGUGCUUUGGUGAGAGCUGCACGGAACCUGGGUUUUGUGUUUUCGGGUAGAACCCCAGACAGCGUCAUUGUGGAAAUGCUGGGGAACGAGGAGAAGUAUGAGCUGCUUCACGUGCUGGAGUUUACAAGUGCCAGGAAGAGAAUGUCAGUCAUCAUGCGGACACCAUCCGGAAAGAUCCGCCUCUACUGCAAAGGAGCCGACACAGUGAUUUACGACAGACUGGCGGACAGUUCUCGGUACAAAGAGAUCACGCUGAAGCAUCUGGAGCAGUUUGCCACUGAGGGGCUACGCACACUUUGCUUUGCCGUGGCGGACAUCAGCGAGUCGUCCUAUCAGCAGUGGCAGGAGCUACACCACCGAGCUAGCACCUCCCUGCAGAACCGAGCCCUCAAGCUGGAGGAGAGCUACGAGCUAAUCGAGAAGAAUCUGCAGUUGUUGGGGGCCACCGCCAUCGAGGACAAGCUCCAAGAUAAGGUGCCCGAAACCAUAGAGACUCUGAUGAAGGCUGACAUCAAGAUCUGGAUCCUGACCGGGGACAAGCAGGAGACGGCCAUCAACAUCGGACAUUCCUGCAAACUGCUGACCAAAAAUAUGGGCAUGCUGGUGAUAAACGAGGACACACUUGAUAGAACAAGGGAGACCCUCAGCCACCACUGCGGAUUGCUGGGAGACGCUCUCCACAAGGAGAAUGACUUUGCGCUCAUCAUCGACGGCAAGACGCUCAAAUACGCCCUCACCUUUGGAGUGCGACAGUACUUCCUGGACCUCGCCCUCUCCUGCAAGGCUGUCAUAUGUUGCAGAGUGUCUCCUCUCCAGAAGUCAGAGGUGGUGGAGAUGGUGAAGAAGCAAGUGAAGGUGAUCACGUUGGCCAUCGGCGACGGCGCCAACGACGUGGGGAUGAUUCAAACGGCUCACGUGGGCGUCGGCAUAUCUGGCAACGAGGGCCUGCAGGCCGCCAACUCCUCCGACUACUCCAUUGCUCAGUUCAAAUACUUGAAGAAUCUGCUGCUCGUCCACGGAGCUUGGAAUUACAACCGUGUAGCUAAAUGUAUCCUGUACUGCUUCUACAAAAACAUCGUCCUUUACAUCAUUGAGAUCUGGUUUGCGUUUGUGAACGGCUUUUCAGGUCAAAUUCUGUUUGAGCGCUGGUGCAUCGGCCUGUACAACGUGAUCUUCACUGCCCUGCCUCCUCUCACUCUGGGAAUAUUUGAGCGAUCCUGUCGGAAAGAAAAUAUGCUGAAGUACCCCGAGCUCUACAAAACCUCCCAGAAUGCAAUGGGCUUCAACACCAAGGUUUUUUGGGCUCAUUGUCUGAACGGCCUCUUCCACUCAGUCAUCCUCUUCUGGUUCCCUCUUCAAGCCUUCCAGCACGAUACAGUGUUUGGCAAUGGAAGAACUCCGGACUAUCUCCUCUUAGGAAACAUGGUUUACACAUUUGUGGUCAUCACAGUUUGCCUUAAAGCCGGGCUGGAAACGUCAUCUUGGACUAUGUUCAGUCACAUCGCCAUCUGGGGCAGCAUUGGGCUGUGGGUGGUGUUCUUCAUCAUCUACUCCUCCUUGUGGCCCCUCAUCCCCCUGGCCCCCGACAUGUCAGGCGAGGCGGAGAUGAUGUUCUCGUCGGGGGUCUUCUGGAUGGGCCUGGUCUUCAUCCCUAUCACCUCGCUGGUCUUUGACGUGGCCUACAAAGUGGUGAAGAGAGUGUGUUUUAAGACGCUGGUGGACGAGGUGCAGGAGCUGGAGGCGUUAUCCAAAGAUCCUGGAGCGGUAGUGCAAGGGAAAAGUUUGACGGAGAGGGCCCAGCUCCUGAAGAACGUCUUCAAGAAGAGCACUGUGAGUCUGUACCGUUCCGAGUCCAUGCAGCAGAACCUGCUACGUGAGUUACACAACAUUGUCUUCUUUUUCUUGCACAAAGUUCACACUUUUGGAUGCGUAUGUAGCGCAGGGGUCAUUUUAGGGCAAUCUCACCAAAUCAUGCAGAAGAAUAGUUCUUGGGGGUCUGAACUGGUGUGAAUAGGACACAGAAACAGGUGCUUUUCAGUGAAAUCAGAUGCACAUUUUCACAAAAGAGGAUCACAUCAAUGUUGGUCAAGUAGCUGGUAUAAGUUUGAUGAGUCUUUGGUUAUGGUGGCUUUAGGCACGCCACUCUAGAGGAAUGGUCCUCCAUCCUUGAGUCCGCUAGCCACAGAGUCAAAAGGAAAGACAGUCCUACCCAUUCGCUGCCAGUUGGGAAGGCCUAAAGUUAUCUAAAAAAAAUGACCGCAAAGUUGUUUUCUUUAGGUUUGAUUUAAAAAAAAAAAAGGGUUGAGAGCCGCUUGUUGACUAGCCACAGCAGCACCUUGCUGGACCUGGCGAAUCAGGAGGGGAUCUCACCUCAGCUGAGUCAUGUGACUGCUCCUUAUUAGGGUCGUGGCAUGACAUGGGUUACACGUAUUCCGGUCCGGACCAGAAAAAUAUUUUUUAAAAAGAUACUUUGGUGCGGUUUGCGUGGCGCUCACUGAGUAUUGUUGUCAUGGGACCAAAGGCUGCACAGUCAAGACAAUAUGCAUCUAGUAAGGAUUUUAUGGGAUUGUAACAAAAAUAAAAUCGGCAUCCCUUAGCCUUAGCCCCUUUCACACAGGAUUUUCUAUGGUGAAGUGGAGGCGUGGCAAGGGUGUGACGUGGGAUGGAGUUCAGUUGGCAAACUUCAGGUGGAAUCUGUAGACCACAAAUUGCCUGAAAGUGUCAAUAUUUUUGUCCGUCCGUACAUCAGAAUUCCGCGCACGCUUUUACAGAUGAGCAACACACAAAACACCAUGGAGGGUACCAAGACCAAGUCCUGACUUAAAGGGUCAUAACAGGGGUAGGACUGCGCCUGUUUGAAAGCCGGCACAGGGGUCUGAAGCUCCGUAUCCCCACCAUCUUGAAUUUUUUCCGCCUGUGUGAAAGCACAUACAGUUACAACGACAUCCCACCUUCAUUGAGUGGGAUCAGCUUAUUGAUAGAUUCCGUUAACCCUUUGAUGCGGCCAUUUUGCCGAUUGCGCCAAAAAACGCUGGCACCGCCUUAAGCUGAUGAGUCAUCUUCAUAGCAAAUAAGAGUGGAUGAAUACGUCCAGCGUGAGGACGACCGCAUGUACAUCCAAAUCUUCUUUUUUUUUUCUUAUCGUCGCCCUUUUUGUUCAUCUCCUUUAACAUUUAAUUUGCUUUUUUUAAGACAUCAAAAGUAACCAGACCGGAUUAACUUUAGCUACACAGCAGAUUAACAAAAAAUAUUUUAUUUUAAUGUAUUAUUUCAUGAACCAAUACUUUAAUAUAAUAUUACAUUAUUAUGAGUAGGGAUGUCCGAUAAUUAUCAGUACCAAUAUCCUAUAUCAGCAUAAAAAUAUGAUAUCAGUUGAUAUUGGUAUUAUGGAUUUUUUUCCCCAUAUUGAAAACCGAUAUAAAAAAAUGCUUAUGUGUUCAUUCCACCACAGGAUAUAUGUCAUGUUACACAUAUCGGUAUUGGAAAUUGAUAGCUGGACAAUAUAGGUAUAUCCGUUUUCCACAAAAAAAACUAUAUCAGACAUCCCUAAUUAUAAGGUAGAUUUUUUGUUUUUUAAUACUGUUGAAACAUUGUAAACAAAGGUCCGUUCCACUUAGGCUAGCUAGCUUUUGAUUUUUGUAUUUGAUAAUAUCGCAAGUAGUCGAGUAAUUGCAACCCUUUUUUUAAAUAACGACUUGCUAAAGUGUAUAAUUAAGCUAGCUACUUUUUUAUGUCUUUGUUUAUGACAAAAUCCAAAAAACGCAGAUUUUUUUUUGCUAAACUAAAACUUGCUACUUAGAAUUUUUUAUUGAUUUGUUUAUUUUGACAAAAUCGAGUCACCUGCAAAUUGUGUUUUUUCGAGUUUAUGAAAACAUGUAAACAAAAAGCUUAAUUUAAAAAAAACAAACUACUUUGGCUAGCUAUAUUUUUUUUUUCUUAGUUGUUUUUUGGUUUUGAGAAAAUUGAGCAACUGGACAGAAUUUUUGAGUAACUAUGCAGUAAUCACAUCUUUAUUUCAAAAUAACAAAGACAUAUAAUUAAGCGAGAUACUUUUGAUUAUUUUAUGCUUGUUUUUGACAACAUUGAGUAAAUUUUUUUAGGUAAUUAAAAGUCGAAAAAAACCCCAAAAUAAAUAUAUUUAUUUAUUUAUUUGUAUUUGAAUGUAUGUAAAAAACAAAAUAAAUAUAUUUAUUUAUUUGUAUUUUUUCUGAAAAUAUCAAAAUAAUAUUUUUGAAGUUGAUGAAAACUUGUUAAAGUUUCUAAAAUAAAACUUUCUGAAAAUAUCGAGUAAACUGUAAGUUUUUUGAGUAAAUUUUUUUGAGUUAAUUAAAAGUUGAAAAUAACAAAAUAAAUUUGUAUCUAUGUAAAAAACAAAAUAAAUAUAUUUUUUUAUUUAUUUGUGUUUUUUUUUAAAUAUCAAAAUGAUAUUCUUCAAGUUGAUGAAAACUUGUUAAAAUAUAACUUUAAUUAAAAAAUAACUACUUAUUUUUUGACUUUCUGAAAAAUAUCGAGUAACCUGUAAGUUUUUUUAAUACAUUUUUUUCCAGUUAAUUAAAGAAUGAAAUUUAUUUAUUUGUUUGUUUAUUUUUUUCUGAAAAUAUCAAAAUAAUAUUUUUCAAGUUGAUGAAAACUACUAAAGACCGACACUGAUGGAUGUUCAAAGGUGUCACUUUUGAUUUAGUGUUUUAUUUCUUUGUAUUGUGUUGUGUUUUGUUGUGUUGUGUCCUUUUGUCUGAUCAGUUUGCUCUUUGUUUGUUGUCUCAUAGGUGGGGAUGAGUCGCUUGUUGUGUGAUUCCUUUUAUCAGAUUUGAAUUAGUGACUCAAACCCACACCUGCUCCAUUAUAGUUCCUCAUUAGACCCCCCCCUUCCGUUUUUCUCUCGUCUCUUCUUUUGGUUCUAUGACUUCCUGUCCUCCUGUCCUCUUCCUUGUGUGCCUGCCGUGUCCUGCGGUGACCUUAGUAAAAGACAAAAAUCUAUAGGUGAAAUGACCAAAUGUUGCGCUGUUAUUCCCCCCUCCCGCCCCGGCUCAGCACGCUCCUUUGAGCUGACCCGCUGGCCCCCCAGGUACUGACCCGCUCAUUUGACACCUCAAGAUGGCUACGCCUUUUCCCAAGACGAGAACGGCGUGGUGUCCCAGUCGGAGGUGAUCCGAGCGUACGACACCACCAAGCAGAGGAGCAGAGAGUGGUGAGCGCCCACCAAUCAAUCCGAAGCCACAAGUUCCACCUUUCUGGUGGUGUUUUUUUUCCUUUUUUUUUUGUAUUUUUGGAAGGAGGAUGACAUUUUUGGACUCUUAAUACGACCACAGACAGACAAGAAUGGAAUGACGUAUUCUUGGUGAAAGGGAACGCUUGUGUGAUGAGCAUGGUGCUUUCUUCGUCCUCACUCAUCCCCCAAAUUGAGCGAAGAGUUAUUAACUAUUAUUAGCAUUAAACCAAACCCACUAAAAACCAUUGCGGACAAUUUAAAUACAAACCACGGGGGUGUAACGGUACACCAUAAUCACAGUUUGGCACGUACCUCGGUUUUAGGUCUUAUUUUUAUUAUAGUAAGUUAGUAAUAAUACUUGUAUUACAGUACAUAAAACCGCUUAGCUAUAAAAAAAAUGUAAAAAUGAAACGGAUUUAAGGAAAAGUAAAGUACUUUGUUUAUGUGUUUCACCGGGAAUGCCAAGUGUUCAUGAAUCAGUUCCAGAAGGCGCGACUCAAACCGAAACAUACUCUAACCAAAUCAGUUUUUCCCACAAGAAAUGACGUAAAUCCAAUUGAUUCUUUCCGGAAAGCCAAAAAUGUUAACACAAAACACAUUUUUUUUAAAUAGUUUUGCUAUUGUAGUUUUAUUGUAGUUGUGGCGGAACCGUGUUAGUUAGCAAAGAACUACAGAGUCACCAGUUAAUGACUUCACUUCUGGUUCUGGUCUCCAUUUUGUUAGAAAGCAAAAAGGCUGCUAAUAAAAACAUUUUGUGAUAAAAAUACAUUAAGAACACAGUUGGACUCGCGGAGUGCAUCAACGACGUGGCAAGACGUGCGCCAUAUUGUUUGCUACAUCAUGGCGUAGCUUUUCGACUUAAACCGAAAAACAUGCUAACCAGGGCAUAUGCUAACCAAGGUUCCUCUGUACUGUAUUUGUUUACAGAGUAGACCAGUGACUAUAUCAUGAAGUAUCAUGUAUCAUCAGUUUGACUUCCUGUCCUUGACCUACUUUUGACCGAUGAGGGAACUCUGUAUGAUGUGUCCGAUGACCAAAUGUACCGUUGCACCCCGACUAAACACUGUUUCAUGUGACGAUUCAACCCCAAAUCAAAAGGUGGCGUCAGAUUGCCAAAGAGCAGUCGUGUGUACAAUCUCGUGAAGUACUCGUGAAUUCGGAAAAAACUUGACCACCCACUCUCCUUGUUAGCAGACUUUUAAGUUACUUGAUUUGAUUUUUUGCACUAAAGGAAGCGCGUCAUGUGUAAAAGCCUUACAUUUGCAUCAUGCCUUCAUCCUCGCUUCGACAAAACACACAUUCUUGUUCCUUUUUCAAGUAAUGUAAUAGAUACUGUGCCUGGUUUUAGUCUGGAUUUGUUUUGGUCCGGUUUCCAGCUUUUGAUGGAUGAUAGCAUUCCACACAUCCCUCCUGACUCCACACUCACAAAGGUGCCUACGUUUCCAUCCCAGAGGAAAACAAGCUAGCGUAGGAUGCACACGUACACUAAAAAAAAACACAAAAAAAAAGACAAAAAACAAGAUUUCAGACCGUAGUGGUUGUGUUUCCCUAACAGUGGAGAUUGGAACCCUUCCAACAUAAGUGCCAUUAGCUUACGAGAGAAAAAAAUACCCAGGAAACUCCAGUACGCCAGUAUCGACGACAACCUAUAGUUAUUAUUUUGUGGAUUUGUAUUUUUAUAUUUGGAGAUGUACACACAUUUUUGCAUUUGACUGGCUUUGUAACCUUUAACCCCGACCCACCGCGCCCCUUCCCCCAGGACACGGCGCUUUCUUAAACAUCUCUCAAUGGUUAAUAUUGUUACUGCUUGGUUUAUUUCUAAUUAUUGUACUUAAUACUUCAUGUCUGUGCGAUGGCUUUCUUCUCCCUAUGGGAGAUACGACUUCUGACUGUGUGUGUGUGUGUGUGUGUGUGUGUGUGUGUGUGUGUGUGUGCAUGUGCAUGUGAUGUGUGUUUCUGUGUGUGUCACUUCUACUAUGUUAACUUUUAUUGUAUGUACGCAUUGCAUGUCUGUCUUCUACUAAGCGACAUUAGGGCAACACAGCAAAGAAAAUAAAUAGUAAAAUAACCAGGAAAAUGAAGUGAAAUCUUUCAGGAAUCCAAUUGUUGAAAUUAAGGAAAACGUCUGUAAUAUUAAAGGAAUAAAGUCGUAAUCUUACAGAAAAAAAAGUAGGGAGAAGAGUGAUACUAUUACAGGAAAAAUGUUAAAAAUGAAAAAAAUAAAGUUGUAAUAUUACGAGAAAAAAAAAUAGUUUUUCGGUAAUAACCUCGUAAUAUAAAUAGAAAAUGUUCAUGAUGUAUAAAAUAUAAUAUAAAGUUGUAUUGUCACAGCAAUAAAGUUGUGAUAUUAUUAGGAGAGAAAACUGCUAAAGUUACAGUAAAGUCGCAAUGUUAGAAGAAUAUAGUUGUAAUGUUACUGUCACGAGUUGCAAUGUUAAAGUAAAAAAAAAAAGUAAAAAUAUUACAAUCGAAAGUUUGUAAUUCAAUUUGUAAUAUCAGCAGAAUAAAGUUUGAAGAAAAAAAAGUUGUACUUUUUACUUUAAACAACUUCAUUCCAACAAAAACCAGAACAUACAAAAAUCAUGCAAUUUUUUUUCCUAUAUAAAAUAAUGUAAAUCCUAUUACACACUCAAAAAUAUUUAAAAAGUAUUUAUUUUAUAUCAUAUAUACAGUAUAUAAAAAUGACAAAUGGAUGGAAUCAAAUUAUUGUCACCUGCAAUGUUUUUCCCUUUUUGUUUGUUACGUGCAAUAUUGUAUGAAAACUGAGACAAAAAUUUGUCAAAAAUGUUUGAUGAAAACUUAGGCAUACAAAAGCUGCAUAAAAAAUCUUUACUGUAGUACAUUCAUAUUUUUGUAAAAUUACGACUUUUUAAAUUCCCACAUCAUUUGGUUAAAAUUAGCACUCAUUUUUCAGAAUAUUCUACCUUUAUUUUGUGAUAUUUAUUCUAUUUAUUUAUUGUCAUAUUUAGAACUUUUUUGUCAAUUUUUGUAUUUACGUAUUUAUUUGUUCUUUUCAGUGUAGCCCUAACAAUCCUUGGUAGUCCGUAUACGAGACUGGAAGUUGUUGACGUAUUAUCUCCUGGUGUGUGUUUUGUUUUUAAAUGUACGAAUGUGUGCGCGCGUGUGUGUGUUUUGAUGCUUGCUCAUACUGGUCCAUGUGCACAAGCCCAGGUCUAGCUAUGGUGUCCUCCUGUGUGCAGAUGCAUGUUCCGCGUGGGCUCGUCGGAGCGUUUUUGGUAAAUGUUGGACUUUACGAUGCUCAGUUGGGGAGCCGCCGCUCCCAAGGUAGCUUAUUUUCCGUCGCUGCUCUUACUGUCCGAUUUUUGGGUUUGAUGGCGUUUGUAACAGGACAGCUCCAACUGCUUUGAAGUUGUCAACUGUUGCUGAAUGUGGACGUUGUUGUCGUCUUUGUUUAGGUUUUUUUUUCUUUUUCCGAACUCUAAGUUGUGCGCUGCAUGAGUGGAUAACACAAACUUGUACCACUUCACUUUACAAAACAGACAAAAAAAAUUGAUUUAACGUUUCUUUCUGCUCAUGUUUUCGGCUUUCAUGAUUGUUCUGCAUGUCGGGACUGCAAAUGUAUAAGUGUUGUCUUUUAUUGUCCGCAGAGGACGACUGAAAUAAACUUUACAUUCAUGGAGGAAACCAAAUGUCCGACUUCUUCCGUCUUUGCCGUUUACGUGAACGUAGGCGCGAUGGUGACGUGCUGGUUAUUCGCAACUAAACAGGAAAGGGCGGAGACAUCAGAUGCCGAGGGACAGCUUCUAAAUAUUUACGCUAGACUGGUAAACAACAAAGUCAUUAAAAAGUUCAUGAAAUAAGUUGACAUUUUUCUGGUUUGUUUUUCCACUUCCUUUUAGGUUUAAUGGUGGAUGUCCCAAUAGUUUUGGGAACAUUUGUGAGCCAUCAUUUGCUUUUUGAGUGAUUCCUCACACAAAAAGAUGCAAGUCAAGAUAUUCAGUAAAGGUCGUGAGAAAGUGUAUUUUGCAAGAAAAGCAGAAGAUGAUAGAAAGUGACAAGAACAGACAAGAGCUGACAGGCGGAAUGUGACAAAUCCUGACAAUCAACGUUGCUACGGCGGCGAUGCGUCAAGGGAAGACGGUCCAGUGUUGAUUCCGGGUUCAGUUUCACAGUCGGGUAAGCAGCGGCGCCGCACACACAGGAGAAGUCCUUUAUUUUUUUUUUUAACCAGUCGCUACCUGUUGAUGCAACCUAAGCCUCCACCGACAGGCCCGUUGAGCACUGACAAUGACGGAUCUCAGCGCCGCAUUCCUGCUGUGAAGUCUGCUGAGAGCUGGCAGCCUCCGCUUCGGUCCACUGAGACACCAAACACAUCUUUCAGAUUGUCAAAAAUAGAAAUCCCUGGUUCCGGAAUGUCUUUCUGUACAUAAUAUACAAAAGUGCAUGUCCUCUCAAGGUCGUCCAAUCAGCUCCCGAGACUAAUUGUCCUCUCCGUCCCCGUCCCGUCCAACUGUCAACUUUGCC